Molecule: long non-coding RNA, 1544 nt
Filed under: Gossypium barbadense (sea-island cotton)
Lineage: Eukaryota; Viridiplantae; Streptophyta; Magnoliopsida; Malvales; Malvaceae
Description: long non-coding RNA (GBAR_LNC017066)
Source: RNAcentral
CAGUCCGAAGUUUGAAAGGUCGUCCGCAUGUCGGGUACAAUCCUAGUCUCGAUCAUUACUUGAGAAGUUUAAGACUAAAGGGAUGAGCUUACGGAAGCUCAGUGUGAGUCAAAAUUACAGAACAUCAUAUAAACAUUCAUAUCAGAUAUAAUAGUCAACAUUACCAAUCCAUACCGUUGCAUAACAAUAUUCAAUCGCUGUAUGAGCAUACUAUUUUGUAUGAUGCAAUGUAAAAAGGGUCCUACCCAACCAUUCACUGUACACCACGUGUUCUCCAGAACCCAUCUACCGAACUCUAGAUAGUGCGAGCUGAAGCUCGAUAUGGAUAAACCACCAGUAACAGUAAUGCAGAUAAAUUGCCGGUAAAAGUGCAGUCAAGUUGCCAGUAAUGUGGACUAGCCACCAAUGUUACAGAUAAGCUGCUAGUAAUGUGAUUAAAUUGCCCAAUCUCCUCUAUACUCCAUAGUGCACUGAAAAUAAUAUUGUGGACUUUAAAUGUCAUUGGUACUCCACGAAAUUCUUCAAUUAACCACAAAUAACCACCCAAUGCAGAUGCGAUAUGUCAUACAAUCAAUAAACACAUCAUGCUUCCAAUAGUAAUUUCGAUACAAUGACAUGCUUAACAUGCAUAACAAUAAACAAUAUUGGUGUAUGCCUUACUUACUUUUCAUUUAAUGGUAACAGAGGCAUGCGCACCUGCCUUCCAUAUAGCCAAUAUCACAUAUGGUAUAUAAUUUAAAUACAUACAAGCUCAAUCUCAAUUAUGGCAUAUUACAUGCAUAUCAAUCAGCGUUUCAAAAAUUCAACGUGCUAUACAUGCAUUCAACACAAUUUUUAGCACGGAUUUAGCAAUCAGAGACAUAACAUAUCAAACAUGUGAUCAACCAAAUUAUAUCACAAAAUCAUACAUUACAUAUAGCUCGUACACAAUUCAAUCGGUCCUAACAAAGCCUUUUACAUUCGGGUUUCCUAUUUAAAUACGUACCUUGCUCGAUACUCUAUUUAUUAGCUCUUAGGUCAUUCAGCCAUGCUAAAACCAACAAGCAUAACUACCAUUUUAAAACAUAUGUUAAGAUUUUUAGACUAAUUCAGCAAAGGGAAAGACCAACACCUUAAUUCGUAACACGCAACACUAAACCAUAAAAUCCGCACUGCUGCACUUAAGCCUUAGAUGAGAUUAGAUCCAAAAACAACACUCAAUACAUUAAAAUACGGUUAAUGACCAGCCUUGAAACGCCCCUAAGGGUUCGGACAAAGUAGUGUCACAUUAACGAAUUUUCAGAUUCGAAAUGACAAGCGAAUUUACACUGAGUUGAUGCAAAAUGAGGGUGCGGACGAGAUCUGACUUCAUUGCUGACUCAGAACGUUCCAAUCAACACCUACGAUUAAAUUAACACUUAAAAUCAGUAAUGAUCAAUUAAAGGUCUUAGAGCAUUCGACUCACCCAGAAAAUUUAACAAAAUUAAUACAGCACAAUAACUCGCUUAAAUCAACGUUUACACUUCACGUUAACUAGAUCUAAGAUGUUGUAUGAUCGAGAUCGG